This 468-nucleotide ribosomal RNA is filed under the name uncultured bacterium. RNAcentral describes it as "partial 16S ribosomal RNA". It matches the Rfam family "Bacterial small subunit ribosomal RNA", at positions 28 to 507 of the family's 1533-position model. The record is from RNAcentral.
GACGAACGCUGGCGGCGUGCUUAACACAUGCAAGUCGAACGGAAAGGCCCUGCUUUUGUGGGGUGCUCGAGUGGCGAACGGGUGAGUAACACGUGAGUAACCUGCCCUUGACUUUGGGAUAACUUCAGGAAACUGGGGCUAAUAUCGGAUAGGAGCUCCUGCUGCAUGGUGGGGGUUGGAAAGUUUCGGCGGUUGGGGAUGGACUCGCGGCUUAUCAGCUUGUUGGUGGGGUAGUGGCUUACCAAGGCUUUGACGGGUAGCCGGCCUGAGAGGGUGACCGGCCACAUUGGGACUGAGAUACGGCCCAGACUCCUACGGGAGGCAGCAGUGGGGAAUAUUGCACAAUGGGCGGAAGCCUGAUGCAGCAACGCCGCGUGCGGGAUGACGGCCUUCGGGUUGUAAACCGCUUUCGCCUGUGACGAAGCGUGAGUGACGGUAAUGAGUAAAGAAGCACCGGCUAACUACGUG